AAAUAAUGAAGUAAAAAUUUACAUUUAGUUUCGACCUAAAAUUAAGGAUAAGUUAAUCCUCUUAUUUA
RNAcentral lists this transfer RNA (68 nucleotides) under Coridius chinensis. RNAcentral describes it as "tRNA-Arg". Lineage: Eukaryota; Metazoa; Arthropoda; Insecta; Hemiptera; Dinidoridae. The record is from RNAcentral.